GAUCAUGGCUCAGGAUGAACGCUAGCUACAGGCUUAACACAUGCAAGUCGAGGGGCAGCAUUGGAGUAGCAAUACGUCAGAUGGCGACCGGCGCACGGGUGAGUAACACGUAUCCAACCUGCCGCUUACUCGGGGAUAGCCUUUCGAAAGAAAGAUUAAUACCCGAUGGUAUAAAGAGUUCGCAUGUUCUCUUUAUUAAAGAAUUUCGGUAAGCGAUGGGGAUGCGUUCCAUUAGAUAGUUGGCGGGGUAACGGCCCACCAAGUCUACGAUGGAUAGGGGGUUCUGAGAGGAAGGUCCCCCACAUUGGAACUGAGACACGGUCCAAACUCCUACGGGAGGCAGCAGUGAGGAAUAUUGGUCAAUGGACGAGAGUCUGAACCAGCCAAAAGUAGCGUGAAGGAUGACUGCCCUAUGGGUUGUAAACUUCUUUUAUAAGGGAAUAAAGUGAGGGACGUGUCCCUUUUUGUAUGUACCUUAUGAAUAAGGAUCGGCUAACUCCGUGCCAGCCGCCGC
RNAcentral lists this ribosomal RNA (514 nucleotides) under uncultured bacterium. RNAcentral describes it as "bacterial SSU rRNA". It matches the Rfam family "Bacterial small subunit ribosomal RNA", at positions 15 to 518 of the family's 1533-position model. The record is from RNAcentral.